UGCUAUUAUGGAAAAAAAUGAAUGGGAGAAGGAAAAAUUGAAUGUUAGUUUCUUUUGAGUUUUUCUAUGAUGGCCUCUUUCCCUUAUGAGUUUCAAUGCGAAUAAUGCUAGACACAAGUAAAAUUGGUAGUAAGAUUUCACUAUUUUGUGCAAAUUGUGCCUAUUUCCGUGCACCACUCUUUGCUUCUUAUUCCCCAAACUGAUUCAUAAAUGCCGGUUUAGGCUCCGAUACUGCUAUAUAAACUCUAUUAUACAAGAUGAUCGAUGUGACCCAAUGUAUUCAUGUUAUCCUUUUCUCAAUCAGCGAAUGCCUAAUGUGAAUCCAGAAGUGUCCAUCGUUGCUUUUAGAGCUUAUGUUAUGCCUUGGGAUUUGGCUACUUUACUAAGUAAUGGCUAAUUUCCACGAAAAGUUAGCUGAGACAUCAUCGAAAAACAUCCGUUCAAAAGCAGAAUAUCCUUCUUAACAUCGAAGUUUUCAACUCCAGGAUCAACACUCGUCCUCGACUCGAUCAACAGGCUCUUGUCACAAAGUGAUUGUGAUGGAAAAGACAAGUUCUCAGGAUCAAUGUGCUUUGUUGGACUCAGGUGGUAUCGACUUUCCAUUAACUUUGUCCUUUUCGUUUUAUAGUUCAUUUAUUUGAUAAAAACAAUUUUCACUGCUGCUGCCGAUGACAUGUUUUGGCCAAGCUGGAGAAAAGAUGCAGAAUCCAUAUGCUUACUCUGACCAUUACCUCAACGGGUUAUACACUGCCGACGGACCUCAUACCAUGAUAAAUGCAAUUAUCGCAUUAUAAAUGUGUUGAAACUUUUACUGUAAUUAUUUGCUGCUUCGUCUUAUUAACAGAAAUACUCAUUGGAAGUCACGGAGAAACUAUUCUUUUUCUU
Olea europaea var. sylvestris is the source of this 885-nucleotide long non-coding RNA. RefSeq lists it as uncharacterized. Lineage: Eukaryota; Viridiplantae; Streptophyta; Magnoliopsida; Lamiales; Oleaceae. The record is from RefSeq and is a predicted model, not a curated record. The transcript has 3 exons.